RNAcentral lists this long non-coding RNA (2524 nucleotides) under Nicotiana tabacum (common tobacco). Its description in RNAcentral is "long non-coding RNA (NTAB_LNC015809)". The record is from RNAcentral. Lineage: Eukaryota; Viridiplantae; Streptophyta; Magnoliopsida; Solanales; Solanaceae.
UUUUCCAACCCUUUUUACGUGAAACUUUUUCUCUUUUGGAUAUAUCUCUAAACUAUCCUUCCGCCUUGUUUGUACAUGUACAUACUCAAACUUGAUCCACUGUUUUGUUUCCUUUUUAUCAUCUGAACUCGAGUUGAAACUUAGAUACUAAACUUUAGUAUUGUAUUACUGGUGAACAUUACUUCUUAUUCUUCCAUAUUCUUAAGGAAAAUUCCUUUGAACACCAGGGAUAGUUGUCUUCGGCUUUCUACACAUGUAUUUGCUUAGCGUCAGAUGUUAGUUGUUCCCGGUAUUAUGUCAAACUUAAGAGAUCUGUGUGUAGAAGCAAAACCGCCAAGCAAACGCUUAGUUUUAGUUCUUUGAUGUGUGAGGAUGAAACAUUAAAUGUUUUUUCACAACUACGGAUUUUUUCCUAAUCCAGGUAUAUUAAGGCUAAUCCUUCUUUCUUAUGGCAUGAUCCAAGUAACGAUACGUAAACGUAAUGCUAUUCCAUAAGUGGUUCUACUCUUAGUAGUUAAGGAUAUCUAUGUUAUUCAUUCUUGUAAAUUGAUAUUCAAGCAUAUCUAAGCAUAUUCCUAAAUCUCUAUUGAGGUAUUUGAUAAAGAUGUUAAUGUUUAUAAUAUAGAGAUACACACAUCUUCAUGCAUAUUCGUUUACCACCGUGCUAUAGUCGGUCGGGUAGUUACCACCGGUUAGGCAGUUAUGUAUUAUUAUUUACCGUCGGUUGGGCACACAUGCAUAUACAUUUACCACCGAGCUAUGGCCGGUCAGGCAGUCAUGUAUUUACCGCCGAGCUAUGGCCGGUUAGGCAGUUAAACAUUAAAUACCGAGCUACGGUCGGUCGGGCAGUCAUGCAUUUACCACCGCGCUACGGCCGGUCGGGUAGUUACCACUGAUCAGUUGGGCAGUCAUGCAUCGUACGAUAUGGGUAAUAGUCUCAAAGAGAAGUAUUAUAUAUAUAAGUAUAAGUAUGCAUAUACGGUGGCACUUUAGAGAUUCAGGUUGAUUCUUAUAUGUCUUUAAUUAAUGUUGACUUAUUGUUAUGUUUCAGUUCUGCCUUACAUACUCAGUACAUUAUUCGUACUGACAUUCUUUUGUUGGGGAUGCUGCAUUCAUGCCUGCAGGUAUAGAUAAUCAGUUUGACGAGCCUUCACAGUAGAUGAGAUUGGCAUUCAUCGAAGGAUCGGUAAGACUCCACCUCAUUCGGAGUGCAGCCGAGUCUAUGAGUCAUCGUGUCAGAGUUUUGCUACAGACUUAUGGGUAGGUUGGUACCCUAUCCCAUUUGAUGUCAAAUAAUCCUAGAGGCUUUGUAGACAGAGGUUCAUUUUGUACAGUAUGUUAGAGGCCUUGACGGACCAUAUGUAUUCAUGUUUUAAGAACGAUAGUUUAUUGAUACAGUGUUUCCCACUUAUAAUUAUACAUUAAGAGUUGUGGCCAUAUUGGCCCACGAUAGUUACAAAGAAAAAAAGAGUUGCAAAGUGGUUCGCUCGGGUCAGCAUGGCACCGAGUGUCAGUCACGCCUCCCCAGGUUUGGGGCGUCACAAAGUGGUUGUUUUAGUAAAAUAAAAAUGUAUGUAUUGAUUUUAUAUGGUACAAUACAUUAUUAAGAUUUUAAUAUUUUACUAGUAGUAUUUUAUAUAAGUCGAGAUAAUUCUUAAUUACGUGGAUAAUAGGAUAACGGGUCAUUACCUAAUUAAUUAGGAUCUUGGAUAAACCUAAGAGGCAAAAACGUGGCAGCACCCCUCUAAUCCUAUGAAUGACUCUUAAGUCAUUAGUCUAGGUGGCAAGACUAGGAAAAGUCUUAGAAUUGAAAAUGUUUAGAAGUACUUGACGAACCUUGGUUUUUCUUUAUUGGUUACUUAAUUAUAACACUAGUAUUUAUUUUGAAACUACUCCAUGAAAGAUUGCUGGCUAGGCCUACACCUGCUAUAUCAAAAUAAGAAGGAUUGAGCUCUACAGAGGGGAUCCAUAGCUCAAAAUAUUUGUUUCAUAAUUACUGUCCUCUUUGGUGGUAUACGUAAGUGUGAAUUGAAGAAGAUUUCAUGGUCUUCAAUAAUAGCAUCUUAGAUCUAAUAAGGGAGUGAUUAAGUGAAACUUGGUAUUUGUAUAGGAGAUUAAAUUGGUCACCCAAUUUAGAAUAUGUUGUAGUCACAAUCUUUCGGUAUUGAGAUCCAAAGUGUAGUGCUCGUACCCUCUUUUAUUGCUAUGAAGAUCCUGUGGCUUAUCUGAAAAUAGAUAUGCUGAGAAGCCUCUAAUUCGAUCCAUCAUUGUUGCCCAUAAGACCAUGAAUAGCUGGUUGUGGUUAAAUGGGAAGACAGUUAGUUGUGGCUUGUGUAUAUACACGUGUGUUAGAGGAAUUGUCAAGAGAAUCGACUCAGGUAUGUUAAGGCUAUCACUUCUUUCUUUUGGCCUGAUCCCAGUAGCGAUACGUAAACGUAAUGAUAUUCCAUAAGUGGUUCUACUCUUAGCAGUUAAGGAUGUCUAUGUUAUUCAUUCCCAUAAAGUGAUAUUCAAGUAUGUCUAA